GGGAAUGUGGCUUAGUGUUAGAGUACUUGCCUAGCAUGCAUGAAGCCCUGGGUUCAAUUCCUCAGUACCU
RNAcentral lists this transfer RNA (70 nucleotides) under Dipodomys ordii (Ord's kangaroo rat). It matches the Rfam family "tRNA". From Rfam's summary of the family: Transfer RNA (tRNA) molecules are approximately 80 nucleotides in length. Their secondary structure includes four short double-helical elements and three loops (D, anti-codon, and T loops). The record is from Rfam by way of RNAcentral. Lineage: Eukaryota; Metazoa; Chordata; Mammalia; Rodentia; Heteromyidae.